This 423-nucleotide long non-coding RNA is filed under the name Physcomitrium patens. RNAcentral describes it as "long non-coding RNA (PPAT_LNC012342)". The record is from RNAcentral. Lineage: Eukaryota; Viridiplantae; Streptophyta; Bryopsida; Funariales; Funariaceae.
CGCUUCUGCCACCUGGAGAAUUACUGCAUUGUGACUGGUCCAUGUCAGCAAAGCGGAGGUGCAAGUGUGAAUGGAGACACAAGGAUCACCACAUCAGCACAGUCCAUGUGGAAGGGCUCGGAUAGGAGGUGACAAUGACUGGGCGACCGACGUGGCCCUUCUCGAUCACUCGUGGAUGACACCUUGCCCCUUCCAGUGAAUUUUUCAUUGAUUCAUAUGUUACAUGUACAUCCAUUUCGUUUCAUCCGUUGGGGUGGAGGGGUUCCAGUGAUGGAUUUUGCAAUAUUGAUAUCAGUUGUUUUGAAACAUUUGUUUGUAUACCAGAAUCAGGAGAUAAUUUCUCAAAAGUGGUGGAAUUGACCCACACUUGCUGUAUUUUUUUUUUUUUUUCCUGGAAAUUUAAAAAAUUAUUUUUGAAUUAAA